CCCAAGGGCUUUGGAACUGGGGGAUUGGGACACGUGACUUCCCUGGCCAUUCACCUUGAAGUGGACACGGGCUGGGGUGAGAGAGGGGAAACUGCCCCAUCUUCUCAUCUUAGAACCAUGCAGUGUUAAUGCUGGAAGGGACCUUGGAGUCGAUUACAACCCCGUGAACUGGGCCAGGGAAGGAAGUGCCUUGCCCAAGGUCAUGAGAAGGGGUUUCAGCAUGUUGCCAAAGCUGAUCUCAAAAUCCUGGGCUUCUGUCGGGAAUUGGUGGGUUCUUGGUCUCACUGACUUCAAGGAAGCCAUAGACCCUCAUAGUGAGCGUUACAGCUCUUAAGGUGGUGCACCUGGAGUUUCUUCCUCUUGGGGGGCUUGUGGUCUCGCUGGCUUCAGGAGUGAAGCUGCAAACCUUCACCAUUAGUGUUACAACUCUUAAAGCAGCGCGUCUGGAGUUGUUCGUUCCUCCCGCGGGGGCUCGUGGUCUCGCUGGCUUCAGGAGCAAAGCCGCAAACUUUCGUGGUGAGCGUUACAGCUCAUAAAAGCAGUGUGAACCCAAAGAGUGAGCAGUAACAAGAUUUAUCACAAACAACAAAAGAACAGAGCUUCCACAAUGUGGAUAAAGACCCAAGCCGGUUGCCAUUGCUAGUUGAGGGGGGGGGGGCGGGCAGCCUGCUUUUAUUCUCUUAUCUGGCCCCACCCACAUCCUGCUGAUUGGUAGAACCAAGUGGUCUGUUUUGACAGGGCGCUGCUUGGUGCGUUUACAAUC
RNAcentral lists this long non-coding RNA (763 nucleotides) under Pongo abelii (Sumatran orangutan). RNAcentral's name for it is "lincRNA". The record is from RNAcentral. Lineage: Eukaryota; Metazoa; Chordata; Mammalia; Primates; Hominidae.